AAGUCGUAACAAGGUUUCCGUAGGUGAACCUGCGGAAGGAUCAUUACUGAGUUAGGGUCCCUCGUGGCCCGGCCUCCAACCCUUUGUUUAUACCACUUUGUUGCUUUGGCAGGCCCGCCCUUUCGGGGGCCGCCGGGGGCGUUUAGUCGCCUCUGGUCCGUGCUUGCCAGUAGCCAAAUCAAAUUCUUCUUUAACAAUGAAGUCUGAAUCUUUAAUUAAAAUUAAUUAAAA
This 231-nucleotide unclassified non-coding RNA is filed under the name plant metagenome. Its description in RNAcentral is "partial contains small subunit ribosomal RNA and internal transcribed spacer 1". The stretch from base 1 to 46 matches the Rfam family "Eukaryotic small subunit ribosomal RNA", at positions 1786 to 1831 of the family's 1831-position model. The record is from RNAcentral.